RNAcentral lists this ribosomal RNA (289 nucleotides) under uncultured bacterium. RNAcentral describes it as "partial 16S ribosomal RNA". It matches the Rfam family "Bacterial small subunit ribosomal RNA", at positions 773 to 1060 of the family's 1533-position model. The record is from RNAcentral.
GUGGAUUAGAUACCCUGGUAGUCCACGCCCUAAACGAUGAUCACUGGGUGUUGGGGGAGCGAUUUCUCAGUACCGUAGCUAACGCGUGAAGUGAUCCGCCUGGGGAGUACGGCCGCAAGGUUAAAACUCAAAGGAAUUGACGGGGACCCGCACAAGCGGUGGAUGAUGUGGAUUAAUUCGAUGCAACGCGAAUAACCUUACCUACCCUUGACAUGUCCGGAAGCCUGCCGAGAGGCGGAGGUGCCCGAAAGGGAACCGGAACACAGGUGCUGCACGGUUGUCGUCAACU